This 972-nucleotide long non-coding RNA is filed under the name Nicotiana benthamiana. RNAcentral's name for it is "long non-coding RNA (NBEN_LNC009558)". Lineage: Eukaryota; Viridiplantae; Streptophyta; Magnoliopsida; Solanales; Solanaceae. The record is from RNAcentral.
UUCCUACAUUCCAAAGGUUAGGAAUAUUGUAAUGAGUAUAUGCAAAAGAGAAGAGCUUUAUUCAGGAAUGAACCCGCUGGAGGCAGCUGUACGUGGUGCAGCUCUGGAAGGAGCAGUAGCUUCGGGAAUUAGCGAUCCCUUUGGGAGUUUGGACCUUUUAACCAUUCAAGCAACUCCUUUAAGCAUUGGCAUUCAAGCUGAUGGAAGCAACUUUGUACCAAUUAUUUAUCAGAACACCACAACCCCUGUAAGGAAAGAACAGAAUUUCACAUUUGGAAGUUUGGACCUUUUAACCAUUCAAGCAACUCCUUUAAGCAUUGGCAUUCAAGCUGACGGAAGCAACUUUGUAGCUAUUAUUCAUCAGAACACCACAACCCCGGUAAGGAAAGAACAGAAUUUCACUACUGUCCACGACAACCAAGCUGAAGCAUUGAUCUUUGUUUAUGAAGGUGAUGAGAAAACCGUGGAAGAUAACCAUCUCUUAGGGUAUUUUAAGAUCACUGGAAUACCUCCACUACCUAAAGGUGUACCGGAGAUUAACGUGUGCAUGGACAUUGAUGCUUCUAAUGUGCUGAGAGUCUUUGCUGGUGUAGUCAUUCCGGGGGCGAAAUGUCCUCCUCCUUUCAUGGAAGUUAGGAUGCCUACCGUUGAUGAUGGACAUGCCUGGUCUGCUCAAACUCUCCAUAAGACAUAUGGAUCUACUUUAGAUUUGGUCACAGUGAAGAAGAAAGGGCAGCAUUGAGAUUGCUGAAUAGAUGAUAUGGAUAGAUACUAGAUGAAAUGCUCUUCUUAGUAGUGGAAAAGGAAUUAAGUGUGCUCUGUUUAUUGUAAAAUAUGUGAAUGAGUUGGAGAAUAAUCUUGGUUGUGCCUUGAGAAUAAUAAUAAUAAUAAUAAUAGUUCCCUAAUAAUUACUCCUCUGUACAUAAAAGGAAUUCAAGUUAUGCUGUAUUUUCAAGAUUGGAUUUCAUAUUC